GAUGAACGCUAGCGGCAGGCCUAAUACAUGCAAGUCGAACGAUAGUGAGAAGCUUGCUUCUCACGAAAGUGGCGCACGGGUGCGUAACGCGUAUGCAACCUACCUUAAUCAGGGGGAUAGCCCGAAGAAAUUCGGAUUAACACCGCAUAAAAUCACAGUAUAGCAUUAUACAAUGAUCAAAUAUUUAUAGGAUUAAGAUGGGCAUGCGUGACAUUAGUUAGUUGGCGGGGUAACGGCCAACCAAGACCACGAUGUCUAGGGGAUCUGAGAGGAUGCCCCUCCACACUGGUACUGAGACACGGACCAGACUCCUACGGGAGGCAGCAGUAAGGAAUAUUGGUCAAUGGAGGCAACUCUGAACCAGCCAUGCCGCGUGCAGGAAGACAGCCCUCUGGGUCGUAAACUGCUUUUAUUCGGGAAUAAACCUAUCUACGUGUAGAUAGCUGAAUGUACCGAAGGAAUAAGGAUCGGCUAACUCCGUGCCAGCCGCCGCAGUAA
Molecule: ribosomal RNA, 498 nt
Filed under: uncultured bacterium
Lineage: Bacteria
Description: partial 16S ribosomal RNA
Rfam family: Bacterial small subunit ribosomal RNA
Source: RNAcentral